GACGAACGCUGGCGGCGUGCCUAAUACAUGCAAGUUGAACGCUAAAGCUUUAACUGGUGCUUGCACCGACCUAAGUUUUUAGAGUAGCGGACGGGUGAGUAACACGUGGGUAACCUGCCCAUCAGAAGGGGAUAACACUUGGAAACAGGUGCUAAUACCGUAUAACAAUCGAAACCGCAUGGUUUCGGUUUGAAAGGCGCUUUUGCGUCACUGAUGGAUGGACCCGCGGUGCAUUAGCUAGUUGGUGAGGUAACGGCUCACCAAGGCAACGAUGCAUAGCCGACCUGAGAGGGUGAUCGGCCACAUUGGGACUGAGACACGGCCCAAACUCCUACGGGAGGCAGCAGUAGGAAUCUUCGGCAAUGGACGAAAGUCUGACCGAGCAACGCCGCGUGAGUGAAGAAGGUUUUCGGAUCGUAAAACUCUGUUGUUAGAGAAGAACAGGAGAAGUAGUAACUGGCUUCUUUUUGACGGUAUCUAACCAGAAAGCCACGGCUAACUACGUGCCAGCCGCCGCAGUAAUAC
This 525-nucleotide ribosomal RNA is filed under the name uncultured bacterium. RNAcentral's name for it is "bacterial SSU rRNA". It matches the Rfam family "Bacterial small subunit ribosomal RNA", at positions 28 to 526 of the family's 1533-position model. The record is from RNAcentral.